CUCGGUUCGAGGGGCGCUGGAGCGCACCAACUGUGGCGCCCUGCCUACUUGCUACUGGUACCGAAAGUUAUCCCGCUCGGAUUUGAUUUUUACAGAAAAAGAAUGCUGUGGACAUGAGAAUCCUUGACUUGCAAGGACAGUGGAACUUGAGCAGGAGUGCAGAUCUGGAUGUUGGCCAAGUUGCCCACUAGCACAAGGCGGAGCUGGUGGGAAGGCCACAUGCCUGGUGGGAACCGCUCAGAAUGGUGACUUGGCUCCCAGUCUCUCCGUCUGUCCAGGAGUCACAGGCUGACGUUUUGAUGACCUAACAUGGAUUCACAGUAGCUUCAAGUACAUAGUCGUGUGUCCCAGGACAAGCAGCAGCUGGCUCCUCCUGUUGCUAAAGCACCACAAUCCAUGACAAGCUACUUGUCACUUCAGGGUUCCCUAGGUGAUAAGGAAAUGGCAGCAGGAAAAGCUAAAAGGCCACAUCUGAGGAUUGGAUUCUCUUCACUAUGUAAACUUGAAGAUCUUCUCAGGGCCUCAAUCUCCUAAAUUAUAAAAUGACAGAUUCAAACUGAAAUAUUUCUAUGCAUUUCCAUACCUAGAAUUUUAUAAGUCUAUUUACUUGAACUUAAAUAUUUACUAUGUGUUCUUUGCUAUGGAUAGAAAAAUAAUUGAAUAUAGAGAAGCUAUGUUUCCAGCCACAAGUAACUUUUAUGUAGCAUGAUAGACACCUUUGUAAGCAGCCCAGAUCAAGACAGGCUGUGUGAGUUGGAAAGACUUGGGUUCAAAUACAAUUUUCCUUUUCUAUCUAUGUACCACCUUAAACAAAUUGUCUACCUAAAUGUUAAUUUUCUCAUUUGUAAAAUGAGGUUGAUAAUACUUUUUUAAUAAGAUAUGGAUCAUUGCUGAUACUCAAAUGUUAUUAAAAGUAUUCAGCAAAUGCUUUGAAUAAAUUCACUAUUAAAAAAAAAGAAUACAGGGAUGCCAGCAGGAAAAAUGUAGCACAUGGUGAAAAUUUUAAAAGUGUGUAUGGAAUCAUGGAGUACUUUAAUUUCCAUGUGCUAUUUUCAAAAUCAACUGAGAGGUUUUAUUCCAAAACGCACUGUGCAGUGGUUAAGAAUUUCACAUUUACCGCCAAGAUGGAGACGUAGGUGGAGGAACCACCUUGCCUCUGUGCACAACCAAAUCUAAGAACAACUAUUUUUCACAACAAUCACAACCAAGCCACAUGGAAAAUCGAAAAUACAGAGUCCAAAGACAACUAAAUACUCAGCUAAACCGGUAAGAGAAGCGAAACCAGCAGCGGAGCAGGUUGGCAAGAAAAAAUCCCCGAACAGGUGGUGUGCGGCGCUGAUCGUGGGCUAGCUACCGGAGCACACAGGGAAGAGGCGCAGGGGGCUGUCUCGGUCGGUCGAGCAUCUGCAUGCGGAGAAACCAGUGAGAAGGGAAGCCUGCGCGGGGCAGCAGGCUCGCACAAUUCCGAUCGGAUAAACAAGCCCAGGACGAGUAGUGUGACUGGACGGGCUGGGCUAGCGGAGAGGACUGCCAUUGCUCCCUCUCUGACCACGCCCCCACACACAGCGUCACAAACCAGUGACCUGGGUCGCCCCGUCCUGGUAAACAACUAAGGCUUCGCUCCGAUUACUUAACGGCACGAAUAGACCAAAAAUGGCUCUAGGACAACUCAGAGCCCCAGAACCCAUAGAUCUAAGCGAUGAAGAAAUAGCCAGUCUUUCAGAUGCACAGUUCAAAACACUGGUUAUCAGGAUCCUUACAGAACUGGUUGAUUUUAGUCACAAAUUAGAGAAACAUAUGGAAGCUAAACUAAUCGAAAUGAAUGGUAAUACAAAGGAAACCAAUAGUAAUGGAAAGAAAAUUGGGACUCAAAUCAAGGGAGUGGACCACAAGGAAGGAAAAAAUGAUCAAACAGAAAAGAAUGAAGAAAUAAGAAUUCAGAAAAAUUAGGAAAAGCUUAGGAACCUCCAGGACAUCUUUAAACGUUCCAACAUCCGAAUUAUAGGGGUACCAGAAGGGGGAAAGGCACAGCCACCAGUGGAAAACUUAUUUGAACAAAUAAUAAAGGAAAAUUUCCCCAAACUGGCAAAGGAAAUAGACUUCCAGGAAAUCCAGGAAGCUCAGAGAGUCCCAAAGAAGUUGGACCCAAGAAGGAACACACCAAGGCACAUCAUCAUUACAUUAGCCAAGAUUAAAAUGAAGGAGAGAAUCCUAGAAGCAGCAAGAGCUAAGGGAACAGUCACCUACAAAGGAGUUCCCAUCAGACUGUCAGCUGAUUUCUCAAAAGAGACCUUACAGGCAAGAAGGGGCUGGAAAGAGGUAUUCCAAGUCAUGAAAACCAAAGACCUACAACCAAGACUGCUCUAUCCAGCAAAGUUUUCAUUUAGAAUGGAAGGACAGAUAAAGUGCUUCUCAGAUAAGACCAAAUUCAAGGAGUUCAUCAGCACCAAGCCCUUAUUAUAUGAAAUGUUAAAGGGACUUACCUAAGAAAAAGAAGAUAAAAAAGAUGAACAGUGAAAGGACAGCAAACUCACAGUUACUAACAACCACACCUAAAACAAAAGCAAACUAAGAGGACAGCUAGAUCAGGAGCAGAACCAUAGAAAUGAAGAUCUCAUGGAGGGUUAGC
Long non-coding RNA from Artibeus jamaicensis (Jamaican fruit-eating bat), 2629 nucleotides. RefSeq lists it as uncharacterized. The transcript has 4 exons. Lineage: Eukaryota; Metazoa; Chordata; Mammalia; Chiroptera; Phyllostomidae. The record is from RefSeq and is a predicted model, not a curated record.